UGUUGAGUGCUGGUGUCACACUGGUGUUAAGUGCUGGUGUCAAGACCUGGUGUCACACUGGUGUUGAGACCUGGUGUCACACUGGUGUUGAGUGCUGGUGUCACACUGGUGUUGAGUCCUGGUGUCACACUGGUGUUCAGUCCUGGUGUCACACUGGUGUUCAGUCCUGGUGUCACACUGGUGUUAUGCCUCUGGUGCUGUAUCACAACACAGUUUUGCCACUCACACGGUGUACAUGCAGAACACAGUCAUGACACGGUCACAGCUGAAAGUGGAAGCAGCUGUGUCCUGUCCGACUCUGGACCUGUGGUGGCGGCAGUAACGCCCACACCUGCAUAUCCUCACAUAUACUACUCCGACUCUGGACCUGUGGUGGCGGCGGUAACGCCCACACCUGCAUAUCCCCACAUAUACUACACAAACAUAAGAGAAGGACCUGGAGGAUUUUAGUGGUAUGCAACAACAGAUGUCACAGAUCUAAUCUUCCACUGCAUUUCCUAUACGACAUUUGUCUGUGUUAAAGUUGUCUGAUAUUUCUCCAGAUGUUCGCCUGUUUGUACAUCGUGUGACAUAUGGUGUCAUAUUUUUCAUGUUAUUUACACUCACGUCAUCAUUUUCCACUGACCAGCAUUCAGUACUCCCGUCAUCAUUUGUAUACACAUCAUCAAGUUGAUACUUUAUUUUUACUUAUGAGAUAUUCUUAUAACAUUUUCUUUCUUACAUUUUGUAACUGAGCAUGUGUAGCGCUGUAUACUGGGAUCGUGUAAUCUUGUUUUGUAUGUACCGUGUCACGCCAUGUGAUCUUCACACUCAAUACCCAGGGCAACAUGAAGUGUUGUGUGGAUUAUCACCCGUUAAACUUGGUUGUGUUAUAACUUUGGGAAAAUGUAGCCAAAUGUCAGAUUUGGGGGAAUUUUUGAACAAUGUAUUCACACCACAAAGUGAAGCAAUACUUUGUCUCCACUGUGUUUCAAGCUUGAUGACUGAUGGAAUCUGGAACUACUGUAACCAUGGUAACAUCAUCAUGUGUCAUAUGCUGAGAACAUGUUAUCAUGGUGAUGUAAAGUCUGUGGAGAUUACUCUCUGAAGAUAGCAGCAACAUUGAGAUUGCUACCAGUAUCUCCCCAUUGCCGAUGACAACGUGAAACUUGUUGCCUUUCUGUGCUCCUGACGUUGAUUGGCUUCUGUUUGGGAUGGACUGAGAUUUCAUCUGUCAAAUCUGAGUCAAAUGGAAGGAGCUUCUGUUGAGCAUGUGAGCAAUUCUUGCUUACUUCAUGGUGACGAAAGCAAGUGUAUAGACGUCCUUUUCUACUGUUGGAUUGAAAACAUUGUCUGUGCUUGUAAUGUGGUAGUGGUGGCCGACAAUUUCACAAUCUUUAGGGGUUAUACACUGACACUGUGGGGGUUAUACACUGACACUGUGGGGGUUAUACACUGGGUAACCUAGGAUACGGUGGCCGGGGUGAUAUCACUGUUUUAUCCCAGCCACCCGGGUGUAAACACUGGGGAAUAUGUCGGUCACCAUGAUAAUAUAUACCAGAGAGAUUACAUCCCACCCAUUAACACAUUGUGUUACACACCAUGCUGGCUGUGUCGAUACAAUGUGUCAACAUUCAUUAGGAGGAUCAAGACACGUGGGAAAAACAGGAAAUGGAAGUUAAAUGUGUCCUUGCGGUUUCAUUUCAAAUGAUCUCUGCCAUUUUAGUGCAGAAAUAUGAAUUCAUAAUGGUGCUUCCUUUUGUGUGACAAAACUACUUCACCAAAUUCUGGAAUAUUACUGGUGUGGUACAACUGGAUUUUCUCAAAAUAUAUUCUGCUACUUUUUGUAAUUGUUGAAGGUUUUGAAAAGCCUUUGUGUCAUUGUGUCGUCUUGAUUGACUUGUCCCCCUGAUGGUUGCUAUGGUAAUAUAUGUACAUAUAUUCAUCAUCAUAUAUCUGUUAUACACGCUGCAGAACUAUUAGCGGUCAUAUCUUAUGUUAGAUUAUCAGACGUUAUGUUCCACGAUGAUGCUAGCUGUCUUCUGUCACACCUCUAGUCACAGAGCGAUGAGAUUACUCCGCCCAUCAUGCUUUCCUUCUGAAGGUCACCUCUUUUUCUUUUAAUCUGAUUUUAAUUUUAAUUUUAAUGUUAACACCCAAAUUACAAAAAUCAACUCUUUUUUCCGUAUUACGUUGUCAUUAUUUGUUGUGAAAAAAAUUGUUUUAUUUUCAUAAACCGACUUUAUGAUUUAACAUUAAAUGUUGAUUUGCUGCUGUUGGUUCCUUGCAGGAGAGAACAAUAUAACAGUUGUGUAGAAUGUUUCCAUUCAUAAUAUAUUUAUUAUUUUAGACCUUUAUAUUUUAUACUUACAUUAUUUUGU
RNAcentral lists this long non-coding RNA (2360 nucleotides) under Haliotis rubra (blacklip abalone). Its description in RNAcentral is "uncharacterized LOC124262403". The record is from RNAcentral. Lineage: Eukaryota; Metazoa; Mollusca; Gastropoda; Lepetellida; Haliotidae.